AUUUCCGUUGCCUCUGUAGUGUUGACAUAAGUCAAUACAUACUGACUUUCGUUUUUGGGCUCAAUUUUUGUUUGUUUGUUUGGUUUGGUUUUUGAGACGGAGUCUUGCUCUGUCCCCCAAGCUGGAGUGCAGUGGUGCAAUCUCGGUUCACUGCAGCCUCCGCCUCCUGAGUUCAAGCGAUUAUCCCACCUCAGCCUCCCGAGUAGCUGGGAAUAGAGGUGUGCACCACCACGCCCGGCUAAUUUUUGUAUUUGUAGUAGAAAUGGGUUUUCACCAUGUUGGCCAUGCUGGUCUCAAAGUCGUGACCUCAGGUGAUCUUGGGCUCAAAUUUUGAUGGGUAGUAAUGAUCUGGAGAUCUGGAGUUCUCAUUAUGAUCUCUCUUUUUCAUUAAUUCAGUUAGUUUAAAAAGUAUGUAUAGAGAGUGUUUAGCAUUCUUAGCCUUGUAUUGAAAAUAUACAAUGACAACACCUAAGAAUUGGAGGGCAUUAUCUUUGUCUAACAGGUGAUUGUAACUUAGAAAUGCAGAUGAAACAAAAGUAAUCAGCAGUGUAAUGUAAGUCUUUUGCUCAGAGAUACCAUGAUUAGUAGCUUACGGAACAGACACAAGUUAAUUAGCCUACAAAUUUAAAAAACCAAAAUGAAUGAAUAAUAAACAGAUUUGGAAGGUAGAUUAGUGGAGUGAAAACCUCAUGCUUUGAAUCUAAGUGCUACUAUUGAUUGUUACCUAGACUUUUUUAGCUUUAAUGCCUUCAUUUGCAAAAUAGGGAUAAUUAUAGCUACCUUGCAGGGUUGUUGUAAAAAUUAGAUAAAUACAAUGUGUUCUAUAAAUGGGGACUAUAUGUAAUGAAUAUUAUUUUCAUGACUAAAUCUCCAUUGGAGCUUCACAGCCAUUAAGUACUAGUAGUAAUACCCAACAAGGGAAAAUUUGGGUUGUUUAGAGUAGCUGGAAGGGUCUUGUCCUUGCGGAGGUGAGACCUGAGUGAGAGUAGAUUACAGACAAUUGAUGCGAGCCAAAGGGAAGAGUAAC
Molecule: long non-coding RNA, 1027 nt
Filed under: Homo sapiens (human)
Lineage: Eukaryota; Metazoa; Chordata; Mammalia; Primates; Hominidae
Description: long non-coding RNA NONHSAT164501
Source: RNAcentral